UACAGAGGGUGCGAGCGUUAAUCGGAAUUACUGGGCGUAAAGCGUGCGUAGACGGUUAUUUAAGUCGGAUGUGAAAGCCCCGGGCUCAACCUGGGAAUUGCAUUCGAGACUGAAUAGCUAGGGUGCGGUAGAGGGAAGCGGAAUUUCCGGUGUAGCGGUGAAAUGCGUAGAUAUCGGGAGGAACACCAGUGGCGAAGGCGGCGAUCUGGGAAGAUACUGACGCUGAGGUGCGAAAGCGUGGGGAGCAAACAGG
This 253-nucleotide ribosomal RNA is filed under the name uncultured bacterium. Its description in RNAcentral is "partial 16S ribosomal RNA". It matches the Rfam family "Bacterial small subunit ribosomal RNA", at positions 524 to 776 of the family's 1533-position model. The record is from RNAcentral.